Molecule: ribosomal RNA, 838 nt
Filed under: Ophiostomataceae sp. MR17EW1
Lineage: Eukaryota; Fungi; Ascomycota; Sordariomycetes; Ophiostomatales; Ophiostomataceae
Description: LSU rRNA
Rfam family: Eukaryotic large subunit ribosomal RNA
Source: RNAcentral
CAACAGGGAUUGCCCCAGUAACGGCGAGUGAAGCGGCAACAGCUCAAAUUUGAAAUCUGGCUCUCGGGCCCGAGUUGUAAUUUGGAGAGGAUGCUUUUGGCGCGGUGCCUUCCGAGUUCCUUGGAACAGGACGCCAGAGAGGGUGAGAGCCCCGUACGGUGGGACACCAAGCCUUUGUAAAGCUCCUUCGACGAGUCGAGUAGUUUGGGAAUGCUGCUCAAAAUGGGAGGUAAAUUUCUUCUAAAGCUAAAUACCGGCCAGAGACCGAUAGCGCACAAGUAGAGUGAUCGAAAGAUGAAAAGCACUUUGAAAAGAGGGUUAAACAGUACGUGAAAUUGUUGAAAGGGAAGCGCCUGUGACCAGACUUGCGCCCCGCGGACCACCCGGCGUUCUUCGCCGGUGCACUCCGCGGGGUGCAGGCCAGCAUCGGUUUUCCUAGGGGGAUAAAGGCCGCGGGAACGUAGCUCUUUCGGGAGUGUUAUAGCCCGCGGUGCCAUGCCCUUGGGGGGACCGAGGACCGCGCUUCGGCAAGGAUGCUGGCGUAAUGGUCACCAGCGACCCGUCUUGAAACACGGACCAAGGAGUCAAGCAUUGGGGCGAGUGUUUGGGUGUCAAACCCGCACGCGAAAUGAAAGUAAACGCAGGUGAGAGCUUCGGCGCAUCAUCGACCGAUCCUGAUGUAUUCGGAUGGAUUUGAGUAAGAGCCUUACCGCUUGGACCCGAAAGAUGGUGAACUAUGCCUGUAUAGGGUGAAGCCAGAGGAAACUCUGGUGGAGGCUCGCAGCGGUUCUGACGUGCAAAUCGAUCGUCAAAUAUGGGCAUGGGGCGAAAGACUAAU